UAUGCAAAAGAAUUGAGCUUCCAAGAGACCCAGCUCUUUUGCAGGCAAUAGACAAUAUCAAAGCUAAAAUGUCUGAAGAGGAGAUCUUUGGCAAUAUGGAUAAGAAGCUGAAAGUAUCCAGACAGAGAGAAAGAGAGAGAGAAAACCAGAAGACAAAAUGCCGUCCGAUUUGGAACUGAGAUUCAGCAGGUAAAACAGGAACUGCAAGAUGUACAGGAGAGCAAUGCAAAGGGACGAGCCCAAGAAUUUGCCAGCCUGGAUGAAAAACUUCUAAUGGAAUCCAGCUUGCAAGCAAGUCAAGGGCAGCUAAGCAAGCACAGAACAGAAACCGUUUCCCCAGACCAGUAGGAAAUGACAGAGAGAGCUGAAGUCUCUGUGAGAAUAGAUUCUCAUGAAGAAAUUAGUGAUUACAAUCCUUUUAUGAAGACAGUGCUUCAUUUGUGGAACAGAGGCUAAGAGGAGAAUAAGACUUUAUAAAAAUGACAACUGAAUCUGCAUAAUCCAGGUUAGUAUAAUGAGCAAAGAGUAAAAAUUAUUUUUAGUUUCUUAAGAACUAUGGAUAUUUGUCUGUUAUGUAAGGCAGAAAUG
Long non-coding RNA from Candoia aspera, 588 nucleotides. RefSeq lists it as uncharacterized. The record is from RefSeq and is a predicted model, not a curated record. The transcript is spliced from 3 exons. Lineage: Eukaryota; Metazoa; Chordata; Lepidosauria; Squamata; Candoiidae.